CGGCCAGGAAGCGGCCGCCCGGUUCGGUUAGUUAGUGCGCGCACACUUUUUAGGUUUUAGGUAGUUUAUUAACUAAUGAGGCCGAGUCAACGCCGCUGCCACCGGGGGCCCGCUCGUCAGAUCUAUCCGCAACCUCGGGCUUCGCCUUCUCUGUUGCCCGCGCCAGCGAAGCAGAGCCGCUCUCGCCAAUCACCAACAUCACGGCGCGAUGGUAGCCCUCCUCCGUUCCUCGUCGCAUCGACCUACCUAGCCUCCCACGCGUCCCACCCAGUGCCUCCACCCCGGCCGCCUCCCCUCCCCGGCGCUCGACCCCGAUCUACCGGAUCUACACGCACCCGAGUAUGAAAGGGCUUCCUCUCGCCCUCCCGCGUGAUCUGUCCGCCUGCACGCGGGCAUGGUGCUGCCUCGGACCCAUCUCCCGCGGUCGAGCGCCUGGCGAUUCAAUUAGCGUCACAGUGCGCCAUCAGCCUACAUAUAAUUUUCUUUUCUCACAUUUGAUUUUUCCAGGACCUCUCACCGGUGAUCGGCAUCGUCGCCGUCUUCGUCACGUCCGGCGCAAUCUGCCGCUACCGUAUGUUUCUCGUGCUCUGGUUUGGAUAUAAAACCUGAGAUAUCAAAGACCUGAAUUGAAGCAUUUGGGUUUUACAUAUUCUGCACUGUUGUUCUUCAGUUAGCUGUGGAGAAAGCUGCCCGUUUCUCCAGUUGUCAUCUUCUUUCUCAAAAUCCAGCGGCCUCCUUCAGUUCUCCCCGCGCCGUCGCGCUCGACCCCUCUGCCCCACCUACCCGAGCCGCCGCCUGCACGGACGCUCCCGGCCCAGCGCCCGCGGACGAGCACCUGCCGACUCGCCUCGUCCCCCCUCCUCCCCCCCCCCCUCACCGCGCCGUUGUGUCGCUCGUCGCCGGUUCGACUUCCCUCACCGGUCCCCGCAUCGGAGAUUGAGAUCGUCACCGCCUUGCGUGCUCAGCCUCGCCCAUUUAAUUUUCUUAAUUUUGUUGUUGGUAAACUUAUUGUGUUGUAGAUGAGCUCGUUUGAAUCCUCUUAGCAGGAUGAUUCCUCGUCCAAAGAGGAAUAUGACAUGAACAAAGAGGAUGACAUUGCUUUGAUCCUAUGAUGCACAAGAUCAAGAGGCCGAAGCAUGGUGGUUCCGCUUGAAUUUGAUGUUGUGGGUUGAUGAACUAUGUAACAGUACUAAUUAAGUUCUAUUUAUGUUAUAUUUGUUUUGGAUUCGUUUGA
Triticum urartu is the source of this 1234-nucleotide RNA transcript. RefSeq lists it as uncharacterized. The record is from RefSeq and is a predicted model, not a curated record. NCBI's taxonomy places the organism in Eukaryota, Viridiplantae, Streptophyta, Magnoliopsida, Poales, Poaceae.